Molecule: ribosomal RNA, 1101 nt
Filed under: Triticum aestivum (bread wheat)
Lineage: Eukaryota; Viridiplantae; Streptophyta; Magnoliopsida; Poales; Poaceae
Description: partial small subunit ribosomal RNA
Source: RNAcentral
AUGAGAAGACGAAGACAAGGAAAGGUAAACUUAAACGACCAGGCUGCCACCAAUAGACUGGAAGAAGAUGAACUGGUCUGGAGAUUAGAGGAGAAGAGUUCAGAGUUCACUCUCUUUGACUUUUCUGAGAUAUUACAUGCUACACAUAACUUCUCCAAAGAAAAUCUACUUGGACAAGGUGGUUUUGGCCCUGUCUACAAGGGCCAAUUACCAGAUGGAAUGCAAAUUGCAGUCAAAAGGCUUGCCUCACAUUCAGGACAGGGUUUUACAGAAUUCAAAAAUGAAGUUGAACUUAUUGCAAAAUUACAGCACAAUAAUCUUGUCAAGCUCUUGGGAUGCUGCAUUCAGGGAGAGGAAAAACUAUUGGUGUACGAGUAUUUGCCAAAUAAGAGCUUGGACUUCUUUAUAUUUGAAAGAAACAGGACAGCUUUUAUUGAUUGGAACAAUAGACGUGCGAUAAUCGAAGGGAUAGCCCAAGGUCUUCUGUAUCUCCACAAGCACUCUCGGUUACACAUCAUACACAGAGACCUUAAGGCCAGUAACAUUCUUUUGGACAAGGACAUGAAUCCAAAAUUUUCUGAUUUUGGCCUAGCAAAAAUAUUCAGCUCCAAUGAUAUCCAAGGAAGCACAAAGAGGGUAGUAGGAACAUAUGGUUAUAUGUCUCCGGAGUAUGCAUCUGAAGGCAUUUACUCAAUCAAAUCAGAUGUGUUCAUCUUUGGUGUGUUACUCCUUGAGAUCCUUAGCGGAAAAGGGAAUUCUGGUUUCUAUCAGUAUGGAGACUUUCUUAACCUUAUUGGAUAUUCAUGGCAACUAUGGGAAGGAGGAACAUGGGUUGAGCUUCUAGAUGCAUCAAUUGUAAAGGAGAUCUGUACAUCAGAUGCUAGGCGGUACAUUAACAUUGCACUGACGUGUGUACAAGAAAGUGCAGAUGAUCGACCCACCAUGUCAGAUGUCGGUGCAAUGUUAAACAGCGAGAGUGUUAUUCUUCCAGAUCCAAAUCAUCCAGGAUACUUCAACCUAACGGUAUCUAAGACACAUGAAUUUUUUGUCCCAUGUAGUAAUAAUGAUGUAACCAUCACCGAGGAGCCAGAUGGUAGAUAG